This 379-nucleotide ribosomal RNA is filed under the name uncultured bacterium. RNAcentral describes it as "bacterial SSU rRNA". It matches the Rfam family "Bacterial small subunit ribosomal RNA", at positions 521 to 896 of the family's 1533-position model. The record is from RNAcentral.
UGAUACGUAGGGGGCGAGCGUUGUCCGGAUUCACUGGGCGUAAAGAGCUCGUAGGCGGCUUGAUAAGUCGGGUGUGAAACCCCCAGGCUCAACCUGGGAUCGCCACUCGAUACUGUCAUGGCUAGAGUCCGGUAGGGGACCAUGGAAUUCCUGGUGUAGCGGUGAAAUGCGCAGAUAUCAGGAGGAACACCAGUAGCGAAGGCGGUGGUCUGGGCCGGUACUGACGCUGAGGAGCGAAAGCGUGGGGAGCGAACAGGAUUAGAUACCCUGGUAGUCCACGCUGUAAACGUUGGGCACUAGGUGUGGGGAGCUAUCGACGCUCUCCGUGCCGCAGCUAACGCAUUAAGUGCCCCGCCUGGGGAGUACGGCCGCAAGGCUA